RNAcentral lists this unclassified non-coding RNA (874 nucleotides) under Hevea brasiliensis (rubber tree). The record is from RNAcentral. Lineage: Eukaryota; Viridiplantae; Streptophyta; Magnoliopsida; Malpighiales; Euphorbiaceae.
UAACGGCCGUUAUUUGAAACCAUGCUUCCUACCUUGUUUUGGGUCUUCUCUCAUUUCCUCUAUUUGAAACCUGUAACAUAACGGUCUCCUCUCUCUCUCUCAUUUUCUGGCAUUUUCCUUUUGCAAGUGACCCCUCCUAGCCGUGCACGUGCACCUUGCAUCUAGAUUCCAGGAUGCUUUUGUGGCUUACUGUGCCUUUAAUGUCUGUGAUCAGCAACCUUGAUAUCACCAUAGCAGUUCUUUAUGGAUGAGUGCAUUAUAUUGAAUCCACCUCAUUCUAUCAUAUUUAACUGUUGUUAUGAUUGUCCCCACAGUGUUGAGAUGUCUGAGUGAGUUUCAAAACCCUGGCAUGUCUGAAGGCUGUAUCUUGAAUCCCCUUGCUAAACAUGAUUUGUAGUUAAAACUAUGAAUUUGGUUACUGGUUACAGGUUAGGCAUGUGGACUGCUAUAUGAUUCAAGUUCAUGAGCUAGAAUCUGUUACAACAAGAUAUAAGUUCAAGUCAAUGAUGAAAGCUAAAUUUUCUUAUUCUACCAUCAAAUUUACUAUCAUUAUCCUCUGAAGGAAUAUAUUAUGAAAUUGAGUUAAGAUGAUAUAUUUGGCACCACGCUCACAUGUAAGCCUCAAUCUUUUUUCAAAUAGUAAGCCCAACUAAGAAAAAAUGGGCUACUUCAGUGGUGUGUACUCAGUAUUUUUUACUCUAAUGCAGUGCUGUUAUCAUCCACUUGAAAAACUAAGUUAAGCAUGAUAGAGUAUAAUACUUGACACAUCAUCUUAUCUCUGCUUCUUUUAAUUAAUACUCGCUUUUGUUUGAGAUUAUCCUUUUUUUUUUUGGUCCGAACAGACUUUAACCAUUUGUUAUGGAUCAGGUCUGAU